AACAAGAAGGUAAUCAAGGGGGAGAUACACAGGCUUUGAAAAGCAAAAUUAAGACUCUAUGGGAUUUUGGAUGUGUAACAUAAACUGUGGGCAACGUGCUUCGCUUGUAUAAAUCAGCAUCAUUACAUUGAAGCCAGAAGAUCUCUGCUGUGCUCCAGCUGAGAAAGUGGCCUACGACUCUGAACACAAGGUUAAUUUUGACCUCUGGAAUUCAGCAGAGAAAUAAAGCACAAAAUAAAGCUGCAUUGGUUAAAAGAAACUAUUGCAACAUAAGUCGAAAAGCCAAAACUGAAGGGCAGAGGUGGCAGGGAAGAAGGCAUACUGCAUAAUUUCUGAUGGCAAUAUUCAUAGCAUCUCACAGAGCACUGUGGAGAUACUAAUCUUAAUAAAACAGCAUAUACAAAUCCCUGUUCCUGUGCUACUGAUAAGACCCUAAGUGCUCAGUCCUGCUACAGCUUACUCACAGGAACUGGCCUCUAUUUUCAGAAGUCACAAAUGAUUCUGAUUACCUUCAUUUCUCAGUCGAUCACCAGUUUUAGAAAAUGGGUCUAGGUUUAAAAAGUGAAGCACUUGGUGCAAUUUGAGGAACCACAGUUUCUUCAACUCCUAGGGCAGCCAAAACUGCUAAUCACUUUGAAAACUUUAUGUUGCAGUCCUCCCUCGAACUGAAGGUGCACGCUCUGCCCAGCACUGUGCCAUGCUGAGAGAACUGGAUUACUCGGGGGGGCUGGAAGUACCCUCUUUGCACGGUCCAAAUGGUCUGCCCUGAAUAAUUAGUCCUAAGUAACACCCCUUUGAGCCAUGAAAGAGACAUUCCCGGGUCUCUGUAUGUGAGUAAGCAAACCCACGUGGCUUCUCAUCCUGCAAGUGCUUCCUCCACCUCCAGCGGUGGCUCAAGGGAGAACACCAUUAAUUAAAUUGGUAGUGGGGUAAGGAGCCAAGAGAGAAAGGGGACAGCCAGAACACGCGGGCGAGAACGCCAGUGGGGAUCCUGCACUGGUUCUCUGAUUGUGGUAAGCAUGAGUGAAGCUGGGGUUUGGGGGUCUCUGCACCCUAGCCUACAGCAUUUCCUCGCCCUCUGUGUCAUGACAUAUAAACUAUGGUCUUAAGAUACUGUCUCUUGA
This 1124-nucleotide long non-coding RNA is filed under the name Dromaius novaehollandiae (emu). RNAcentral describes it as "lncRNA (ENSDNVG00000013008.1)". Lineage: Eukaryota; Metazoa; Chordata; Aves; Casuariiformes; Dromaiidae. The record is from RNAcentral.